UGAGCAAUCUGCCCUUCUCAUCGGAAUAAGCGUUGGAAACGACGUCUAAUGCCGAAUACGACCUCCUUUCNCAUGAUCGGAGGUGGAAAGCUCCGGCGGAGAAGGAUGAGCUCGCGGCCUAUCAGCUAGUUGGUGUGGGUAACGCCG
RNAcentral lists this ribosomal RNA (147 nucleotides) under uncultured bacterium. Its description in RNAcentral is "partial 16S ribosomal RNA". It matches the Rfam family "Bacterial small subunit ribosomal RNA", at positions 118 to 265 of the family's 1533-position model. The record is from RNAcentral.